GAAAUUAAAUUGGAUUUUGGAUUAUUUUUAUUCUUAUGAUAAGUUUUGUCUCUUCGGUUUACACUUGGUUUUUUCCUAAUUAAACGUUAAUUAAUGCGUAUGUUGUAAAAAGUUGAGCUCUUUUUUGUCAAGGGAAGAGAAUCUGUGAACCGAUCAAUUUGGGAAAUCUGUUGGUUUUUUGGGUGUUAAUGUUUGUUGGGUAGGGGGGUUAUUUAUAAGGAAAAGCUAAUUGCUCGCAAAUCUAAGUAAACAUAGCUAUUUUAUGCUUCUGGGUUGAGUUGUUUAGCGAUGGAGAAAUCGAAGAUUGACCUUAUUGUUGGUGGCAAAUUUAAGCUAGGAAGGAAGAUUGGGAGUGGAUCCUUUGGAGAGCUCUAUCUGGGUGUAAAUGUG
RNAcentral lists this unclassified non-coding RNA (390 nucleotides) under Hevea brasiliensis (rubber tree). The record is from RNAcentral. Lineage: Eukaryota; Viridiplantae; Streptophyta; Magnoliopsida; Malpighiales; Euphorbiaceae.